CCUACGGGAGGCAGCAGUGAGGAAUAUUGGUCAAUGGACGCGAGUCUGAACCAGCCAUGCCGCGUGCGGGAUGAAGGCUCUAUGAAUUGUAAACCUCUUUUGUACGGGGAUAAAGGCGGAUACGUGUAUCCGGUUGAGUGUACCUGACGAAUAAGCAUCGGCUAACUCCGUGCCAGCAGCCGCGGUAAUACGGAGGAUGCGAGCGUUAUCCGGAUUUAUUGGGUUUAAAGGGUGCGUAGGCGGUUCGUUAAGUUAGAGGUGAAAGCCCGGGGCUCAACCCCGGCACGGCCUUUGAAACUGGCAGGCUCGAGUUGAGUAGAGGUAGGCGGAAUGCGUGGUGUAGCGGUGAAAUGCAUAGAGAUCGUGCAGAACACCGAUUGCGAAGGCAGCAUACC
Molecule: ribosomal RNA, 395 nt
Filed under: uncultured bacterium
Lineage: Bacteria
Description: partial 16S ribosomal RNA
Rfam family: Bacterial small subunit ribosomal RNA
Source: RNAcentral